This 253-nucleotide ribosomal RNA is filed under the name uncultured bacterium. Its description in RNAcentral is "partial 16S ribosomal RNA". It matches the Rfam family "Bacterial small subunit ribosomal RNA", at positions 524 to 776 of the family's 1533-position model. RNAcentral also lists the same sequence under 1 other name. The record is from RNAcentral.
AACGUAGGUGGCGAGCGUUAUCCGGAUUUACUGGGCGUAAAGGGUGUGCAGGCGGGCUGUUAAGUGGUGUAUGAAAUAUCCCGGCUCAACCGGGAAGGGUUAUGCCAGACUGGCAGUCUAGAGAGCGAGAGAGGGACGUGGAAUUCCGGGUGUAGUGGUGAAAUGCGUAGAGAUCCGGAGGAACCCCAGAGGCGAAGGCGGCGUCCUGGCUCGCAUCUGACGCUCAGACACGACAGCAUGGGGAGCGAACGGG